Molecule: ribosomal RNA, 180 nt
Filed under: Candidia barbata (Lake Candidus dace)
Lineage: Eukaryota; Metazoa; Chordata; Actinopteri; Cypriniformes; Xenocyprididae
Description: partial 12S rRNA
Source: RNAcentral
CAGCCGCCGCGGUUAAACGAGAGGCCCAAGUUGAUAACGCCACGGCGUAAAGGGUGGUUAAGGAAAAUAGCACAAUAAAGCCAAAUGGCCCUUUGGCCGUCAUACGCUUCUAGGCACCCGAAGCCCAAUUAUACGAAAGUAGCUUUAAUAUGCCCGCCUGACCCCACGAAAGCUGAGAAA